UUUUUACCUUUCUAAGGAUUAUUGUUAAAAUAAAAAUAUUUGGCGGCUAUUUAUAUUAAAGGGAUUUGCUUUUUAUCGAUUUACCYCGUUUAUUAUUAUUUAGUUUUUUUUUUGUAUACCGUCAUUUAGAUAAUUUUGGUAAAAUUAAUUAUGGUAGUAAUGUACAUUAUAUUAGAUCAAGGUGCAGAGAUAAUUAAUAGUAAGUUAAUGACAAUAAUUAGCAUUAAACAGGAUAAGAAUAAUAAUUUGAAUAGGAGGAUUUAAUUGUAAUGGAAAUUUUUUGAAAUUAUAUUUAUAGUGUACAAAUUGCCCGUCAUUCUC
RNAcentral lists this ribosomal RNA (321 nucleotides) under Niphargus scopicauda. Its description in RNAcentral is "partial 12S ribosomal RNA". The record is from RNAcentral. Lineage: Eukaryota; Metazoa; Arthropoda; Malacostraca; Amphipoda; Niphargidae.